CCCUUAGAUGUUCUUGGCCGCACGCGUGCUACACUGAGUGGAUCAGCGGGUCAGGUUGCGCGAAAGUGUUUCCUAAUCUUGAAAUCCGCUCGUGAUGGGGAUUGACGGUUGCAAUUUUCCGUCAUGAACGAGGAAUACCUUGUAAGCGCGGGUCAUCAUCCCGCGCUGAAUACGUCCCUGCCCUUUGUACACACCGCCCGUCGCUCCUACCGAUUGAGUGGUCCGGUGAGGCUUUGGGAUCUGAGCGGAAAGAGCGUUUCGCUGUUUCUGCUCGGAAAACUCAGUCGAACCUUAUCAUUUAGAGGAAGGAGAAGUCGUAACA
This 322-nucleotide ribosomal RNA is filed under the name uncultured eukaryote. RNAcentral's name for it is "partial 18S ribosomal RNA". It matches the Rfam family "Eukaryotic small subunit ribosomal RNA", at positions 1470 to 1796 of the family's 1831-position model. The record is from RNAcentral.